This 253-nucleotide ribosomal RNA is filed under the name uncultured bacterium. RNAcentral's name for it is "partial 16S ribosomal RNA". It matches the Rfam family "Bacterial small subunit ribosomal RNA", at positions 524 to 776 of the family's 1533-position model. The record is from RNAcentral.
UACAGAGGGUGCGAGCGUUAAUCGGAAUUACUGGGCGUAAAGCGUGCGUAGACGGUUAUUUAAGUCGGAUGUGAAAGCCCCGGGCUCAACCUGGGAAUUGCAUUCGAGACUGAAUAGCUAGGGUACGGUAGAGGGAAGUGGAAUUUCCGGUGUAGCGGUGAAAUGCGUAGAUAUCGGAAGGAACAUCAGUGGCGAAAGCGACUCCCUGGACCAGUACCGACGUUCAGGCACGAAAGCGUGGGGAGCAAACAGG